This 678-nucleotide small RNA is filed under the name Pan troglodytes (chimpanzee). Its description in RNAcentral is "processed transcript". The record is from RNAcentral. Lineage: Eukaryota; Metazoa; Chordata; Mammalia; Primates; Hominidae.
ACAACUUAAGGUAGUUUUAUAAUACCAAUCACAGGAUAAGUUUAUUCAUGUGGAUCCAAUACCUUUCACUUUUUUUUUUUUAGCAGCAAGCAACUUUGACUGCUGUCUUGGAUACACAGACCGUAUUCUUCAUCCUAAAUUUAUUGUGGGCUUCACACGGCAGCUGGCCAAUGAAGGCUGUGACAUCAAUGCUAUCAUCUUUCACACAAAGAAAAAGUUGUCUGUGUGCGCAAAUCCAAAACAGACUUGGGUGAAAUAUAUUGUGCGUCUCCUCAGUAAAAAAGUCAAGAACAUGUAAAAACUGUGGCUUUUCUGGAAUGGAAUUGGACAUAGCCCAAGAACAGAAAGAACCUUGCUGGGGUUGGAGGUUUCACUUGCACAUCAUGGAGGAUUUAAUGCUUAUCUAAUUUGCGCCUCACUGGACUUGUCCAAUUAAUGAAGUUGAUUCAUAUUGCAUCAUAGUUUGCUUUGUUUAAGCAUCACAUUAAAGUUAAACUGUAUUUUAUGUUAUUUAUAGCUGUAGGUUUUCUGUGUUUAGCUAUUUAAUACUAAUUUUCCAUAAGCUAUUUUGGUUUAGUGCAAAGUAUAAAAUUAUGUUUGGGGGGGAAUAAGAUUAUAUGGACUUUCUUGCAAGCAACAAGCUAUUUUUUAAAAAAAACUAUUUAACAUUCUUUUGUU